UAGGUUGUAGCCUAAUGAAAAGGUGUUUGGCCGUUAACCAGGAGAUAGCAAGAUCAAAACUUGUCAACUUAG
This 72-nucleotide transfer RNA is filed under the name Euretaster insignis. RNAcentral's name for it is "tRNA-Asn". It matches the Rfam family "tRNA". Rfam says of the family: Transfer RNA (tRNA) molecules are approximately 80 nucleotides in length. Their secondary structure includes four short double-helical elements and three loops (D, anti-codon, and T loops). Further hydrogen bonds mediate the characteristic L-shaped molecular structure. tRNAs have two regions of fundamental functional importance: the anti-codon, which is responsible for specific mRNA codon recognition, and the 3' end, to which the tRNAs corresponding amino acid is attached (by aminoacyl-tRNA synthetases). tRNAs cope with the degeneracy of the genetic code in two manners: having more than one tRNA (with a specific anti-codon) for a particular amino acid; and 'wobble' base-pairing, i.e. permitting non-standard base-pairing at the 3rd anti-codon position. Lineage: Eukaryota; Metazoa; Echinodermata; Asteroidea; Velatida; Pterasteridae. The record is from RNAcentral.